AGAGGUCAGCUCCUAGCCAGGGAUCUUGCCUCUUUGCUGCCUGCGGCCAGGACUAAGCAAGAGCCAGACCCUCCCCCCCCCCAACCCCCCGGCCGUGCAGAAAAGACUCCACUGGAGACGCAAAUCGCUCGUCCGCACCGCCGCUGCCGCCGCCGCCGCCUCUGUCGCUGGAGUGAGAGGCGCACGAUCCCAGCGCACUGCGGAUUCCGCCCGAGGCUUCUAGCACCCAAGUAAUUCGCUCCAAUCUCUCCGGAACCCUCGGAGCCGGCGCCCCUCGCCCGCGCGCCCCUCUCACGGUGCUGCAGCCGCCACCGCCGCGCUCAAGUCUGGCCCCAGAUGUUUCCAGCAGCAGCGCCGUCCAGUAAUUACGAGGAAUCGACUGGCGCCGAGUGUGCCCGGCCGGCAUCCGAGGUCCGACCUCCUCCAGCCGAGCCCUUCACACCUCCCUUUUUUCUUAGCGCUUUCCCG
RNAcentral lists this long non-coding RNA (468 nucleotides) under Mus caroli (Ryukyu mouse). Its description in RNAcentral is "predicted gene 42802 (MGP_CAROLIEiJ_G0003694.1)". Lineage: Eukaryota; Metazoa; Chordata; Mammalia; Rodentia; Muridae. The record is from RNAcentral.